Molecule: ribosomal RNA, 497 nt
Filed under: uncultured bacterium
Lineage: Bacteria
Description: partial 16S ribosomal RNA
Rfam family: Bacterial small subunit ribosomal RNA
Source: RNAcentral
GACGAACGCUGGCGGCGUGCCUAAUACAUGCAAGUCGAGCGCUGAAGGCUGGUACUCGUACUAACCGGAUGAGCAGCGAACGGGUGAGUCACGCGUGGGGAAUCUGCCAUUGAGCGGGGGACAACAGUAGGAAACGAAUGCUAAUACCGCAUAAAAACUUUAAAGACAAGUUUUAAGAUUGAUAGAGGCAAAUGCAUAGCUCAAAGCUGAUCCCGCGUUGUAUUAGCUAGUUGGUGAGGUAAAGGCCCACCAGGGCGAUGAUACAUAGCCGACCGGGGAGGCGGGUCGGCCACCUUGGGACGUGGACACGGCCCAAACUCCUGCGGGAGGCAGCAGUAGGGAACCGUCGGCAAUGGUCGAAAGUCUGACCGAGCGGCGCCGCGUGAGUUAAGAAGGUUUUCGGAUCGGGAAUCUCGGUUUGUAGUGAAGAACGUUGUUGGCAGUGGAAAGCGCAUCAAGUGACGGUAACUACCCAGAAAGCGACGGCUAACUACGUG